GGCCCAUUAGCCCAGUUGGUUAAGGCGUGGUGCUGAUAACGCCGAAGUCAGCAGUUCGAUCCUGCUAUGGGCCACCA
This 77-nucleotide transfer RNA is filed under the name Lupinus luteus (yellow lupine). RNAcentral describes it as "tRNA-Ile". It matches the Rfam family "tRNA". Rfam says of the family: Transfer RNA (tRNA) molecules are approximately 80 nucleotides in length. Their secondary structure includes four short double-helical elements and three loops (D, anti-codon, and T loops). Lineage: Eukaryota; Viridiplantae; Streptophyta; Magnoliopsida; Fabales; Fabaceae. The record is from RNAcentral.